Molecule: ribosomal RNA, 445 nt
Filed under: uncultured bacterium
Lineage: Bacteria
Description: partial 16S ribosomal RNA
Rfam family: Bacterial small subunit ribosomal RNA
Source: RNAcentral
AACGAACGCUGGCGGCAGGCCUAAUACAUGCAAGUCGAACGCUCGAAAGAGAGUGGCAGACGGGUGCGUAACACGUGGGAAUCUCCCUUCAGGUACGGAACAACAGUUGGAAACGACUGCUAAUACCGUAUGUGGACUUCGGUCGAAAGAUUUAUCGCCUGAGGAUGAGCCCGCGUCUGAUUAGCUAGUUGGUGAGGUAAUGGCUCACCAAGGCUACGAUCAGUAGCUGGUCUUAGAGGACGAUCAGCCACACUGGGACUGAGACACGGCCCAGACUCCUACGGGAGGCAGCAGUAGGGAAUAUUGGACAAUGGAGGAAACUCUGAUCCAGCCAUGCCGCGUGAGUGAUGAAGGCCUUCGGGUUGUAAAGCUCUUUGAUUGAAGACAAUAAUGAUGGUAUUCAAAAAACAAGCCCCGGCUAACUCUGUGCCAGCAGCCGCCGUAA